AGUGAACGCUGGCGGUAGGCCUAACACAUGCAAGUCGAACGGCAGCACAGUAAGAGCUUGCUCUUACGGGUGGCGAGUGGCGGACGGGUGAGGAAUACAUCGGAAUCUACUUUUUCGUGGGGGAUAACGUAGGGAAACUUACGCUAAUACCGCAUACGACCUACGGGUGAAAGCAGGGGAUCUUCGGACCUUGCGCGAUCGAAUGAGCCGAUGUCGGAUUAGCUAGUUGGCGGGGUAAAGGCCCACCAAGGCGACGAUCCGUAGCUGGUCUGAGAGGAUGAUCCGCCACACUGGAACUGAGACACGGUCCAGACUCCUACGGGAGGCAGCAGUGGGGAAUAUUGGACAAUGGGCGCAAGCCUGAUCCAGCCAUACCGCGUGGGUGAAGAAGGCCUUCGGGUUGUAAAGCCCUUUUGUUGGGAAAGAAAAGCAGCAGGUUAAUACCCCGCUGUUCUGACGGUACCCAAAGAAUAAGCACCGGCUAACUUCGUG
Molecule: ribosomal RNA, 492 nt
Filed under: uncultured bacterium
Lineage: Bacteria
Description: partial 16S ribosomal RNA
Rfam family: Bacterial small subunit ribosomal RNA
Source: RNAcentral